RNAcentral lists this ribosomal RNA (273 nucleotides) under uncultured bacterium. RNAcentral's name for it is "partial 16S ribosomal RNA". It matches the Rfam family "Bacterial small subunit ribosomal RNA", at positions 524 to 796 of the family's 1533-position model. The record is from RNAcentral.
UACGUAGGUGGCGAGCGUUACUCGGAAUUACUAGGCGUAAAGCGCGUGUAGGCGGGAGCCUAAGUCUGCGGUUAAAUUUCACAGCCUAACUGUGAACUGUCCGCGGAAACUGGGUUUCUUGAGUGAGGUAGAGGGAACCGGAAUUCCAGGUGUAGCGGUAAAAUGCGUAGAUAUCUGGAAGAACGCCCAAGGCGAAGGCAGGUUCCUGGGCCUUUACUGACGCUGAGACGCGAAAGCUAGGGGAGCAAACAGGAUUAGAUACCCCGGUAGUCC